This 3511-nucleotide long non-coding RNA is filed under the name Homo sapiens (human). RNAcentral describes it as "HSALNT0358990". The record is from RNAcentral. Lineage: Eukaryota; Metazoa; Chordata; Mammalia; Primates; Hominidae.
GCCGAGGACCAGGCGCGGGAGCGGGAGCGGGCGACUGGCCGGGCCCUCCCGGUCUCGGCAGCCACUUCUAGCUCCCGGCCCAGCCGGGAGACGCAGGUGCCACGGAGAUGGGCAGCCGGGCGGGUGGCGCAGUGCAGGCAGCUGUAUCAAUCGCUUCCCCUCCAGGGACCCGCCGGUGCCUGGGGACCGCGGGCUGUGCAGCUGUGCCGGGCCUGCGGAGGCCGCCGCCCGGGAGCUGGGAGGCAGGGGGCGCGUGGUCAAGAGCCGCCCUCGACCUGGCCUGGUCGGUCCUGGCCCGGCGUAGGUGACGAUGGCGGGGACCGCGAGGCGCCGGACACCCGAGGCCACGAGCAGCGUCGCCCCUCGCUUUUUCGCGCCCCUCCAGCCCUGCAGUCCUUCCUCUAAGUCCGUCUGCCCCUCACCGAUUGAAAGUGGCCCCGAGAAUAUUGGAUGACCUACUGAUGUGUUGACAGAGUGAUCUGGUGUCAGGACUGUAAAAUACGCCUAUGAAAACUGGGGGAGAGGAAUAAAACAAGCUGGCAGAACGUUUUUCAUCGUUGAAGCUGCGUGAUGCGAGCAUAUGUGCUCAUCAUACAGUCUCUUUACUUGUGUAUCUGAAAUUUUCCAUAAUAAAAAGUUUAAAGAAGUGAACCAGCGAUUGCCUCUAGGGAGGACAGUGAGGUGGCGGAUGACGGGAGGAAGGAGUCUUAAUUUUUCGCUGUACGCCUUUUUGUGCUAUCUUAGGUUUUUCCCAUUCAAUGUGUUACCUAAUUCAGAAAAUUGGUAAGUUUUUUUUAAGGCUACCAUGGGAAAACAGCGUUCUAAAGAGUAGCGCAACCAGUUCCCCCUAAGAGAGGUGCAUGAUUCGUCGGACUCCGACAGCCUUGGUGUUUGUUAGGCGGUUAAUGGAGACCCACCUGGGAAAUUAGAAAACUACUAAUUGCUUUCAGUGAGAAGCCCGCCCUUCUCCCACAAAUGGAUAAUUUGCUUUUAAUGCACCCAGAAGUUAUCCAGCUCCCUCCGGUAUAAUCGGGGAAACUCCAAAUAAAGGAAAAAUAGUUCAGAGACCCUGCAGCUCUUCCCAAGAGGAAUUUAAGGUGGAUUUUAGUGUGGUUGGAUUGUUUUGCCUACCUGACUGCAGAAUUUAUAUUCUGACAUUUACAAUUUCCUAAAUACUGAAUCAGUACUUUUUCUUGUUUCAAAAUAAAUCAACUUCUUCUGUAGUUUAUAUGAAAAACAAGUCCAUGUCUUCCACUGUGGGUGGGAUGCACAUGACUGUUUUAUUUGGGUCAGUUUUGUCUCUUUUUUUAAUUGGCAGUUUAGGAACUUGUUUUUAUCAUUUUGUUUAAAGAUCUUCUGGCAGAGGUGCAGGCUGCACUUACUAUAAUUAUUUAGAUGACAAGGUGGUGGGUGGUAAUUAAAGGGUAAUUAUCAUCAGAGGCAAAAGGUAAGAUCAAAAAACCAGAAGAGGUGAGGAAACAAUUGCAAGAUCUUCCUGUAGGAGGGUGUCGUGAUCCUCCCAAGACCAAAGGAUAUGUCUAUUAUGCCUGGCCUCUCUAGUGCUGGACACUUGGCAGGGUCAGUGCCUGCAUGAGGCUGAAGUGGAAGGGCUUAUUGUUUAGACUGGUGCCUUUUGAGGGCUUUUAUGUGAUGGUUGUGUUAAGUAAUGAAACUUAGUAGUGUCAAAUUCUUGCCACUCAAAGAAUGAUCCCCAAUCAGCAGUGUAGCAUCACCUGGAAGCCUGUAAGGAACGCAUAAUUCCUAUCCCUCACCCCAGCUCCACUGAAUCAGAACCUGCAUUUUAACAGGAUUCCCCCAGCUGAUUGGGCUGCACAUUAAAGUUUGACAAGCACUGAUUUAAAGUAUACCCAUAGCAUUUGACAGCAAUCUAGUAUUUUUCGUUAGGAUGAGGGAGAGGAAGGGAGAUGAUUAAGAACCUCCUAUGCAUCAGGUAAGAUGCUAGGCUGUUCAGGGGCCUUGUCUGCUUCCCAGUCCAUUACUCUAUCUUACAAGUAAGGAAAUGGGAAGACUUGUAUGUUACAACUAAUGAGGGAGUCAAACUUUUUCUUGACGGUUGGAUACCCUUUAGUACUUCUUGGUGUUCUUGAAUCUGGUAGAAAGUGGUACAUGAUUUGAGAAGUAAAGUGUGUGUGAGUGUGUGUGUGUGUGUGUGUGUGUGUGUGUAUUUAGUCUGUGGAAGCUUAGUAUAUGAAUAUUAAGCAGAGCUCUUCUGGGCUCUGUACCCUUGUGUGGCUCACACUAAAGACACCCCUCGGGCCCCUCCUGGAGGGAGUUCAGACUCCUGGCCCUGCAGGCUGUACCACCACCUUAACCCCUUACCUCCCUGCUUCCACUGAGGCAAGCAAAUGCCCUGAAGUCCCCUCAUUCCCUUACCAGGGCCCUGGGUUCCACACCAGAAUGAGCAAACAGAACUCCAGUGUGGGUAACACAUGGCUGAACAGCUUUUUGUUGUAUUGUUUUUGUUUUCUUAGUUCUCUCAGCUCAGGCUCCAUCCCCCUGGCCACCUCAACCCCUAGAAUGGUUGUCUCCAUUUCAUGAGAAUCUUCACACUAACAUCAAGUAGCCAGUAGGUGCUUUUGGUUUUGCUAGAAUGCCUGUGUGCAAGCUCUCAGAUACCUGAUUUUCUUUCCCCCACUGAAUGUUGUGUUUGUCAGAAACUGAAAUCAUGGAUCAGAGCCAAGUUUGUAGUACCCUUAGGAGGGGCCUCUGCCCUCCUGUGUGCUGCCUGGGUGAGGACAGAACCCCCUAACCUGGAGCUCCACUUGAGUGGGCCCAUACCUGUACUUUCCUCUGAAAAAAGAAAAUCCUGCAAAGAAAAUAGAAGACAUCUGUUCUGCCAUUGCCAUGCCCUUGUUCUAGCCCAGACAUGAGAACUGUCAGAAUUGGAGUUACUAAAUAGAACUUUUAGUCUUUUUCUGAUAAUGUGUAGUAAAGUGUAUUACAACUUAUAGAAUUCUAUUUAGGGAACUACAGGUCAGAAACUACCAUAUUGGUAGCAGUCAAUUUUUCUUUGCCAUCGGAUGUGGAAUAAAAUGUUAAAUUGUACACUUGCAUGUUGUGGUUAUAUUACAAAGCUCUACGAGAUGUGGGCCAGGCCCUGCCCUUUGCUCAUGCAGCCCCAACUUUCUGCUCUGCCCACACCUGACUCCUUGCUGUUUCCCCACCUUAGGGCCUUUGUAUUUCCUAUUCCCUCUGCCUACAACUCCCCCAGAUACCAGCCUGCUUCAAUUCUCUCCUCUAGGUUUUCACUCAGAUGGGACUUUUCAAUGAAUCUCCCCUGACCAACCUAUCUUAAAUUGUUGCAACAUCCUCACUCCUAAAUGUCACUGUCCCUGCUUUACUUUCUUUAAGGGCAUUUAUCUUCCCAUCUAACAUAUCAGGCAUUUUGCAUGUUUAUCUUAAAUGUUGUGCUCCCUCUGAAGGCAGGGAUCUCUGCCUGUCUUGUUUUCUGCUGCAACCCUAGCACCUAGAAGACUGCCUGGCACAAGAG